This 5853-nucleotide long non-coding RNA is filed under the name Coffea arabica (coffee). RNAcentral's name for it is "long non-coding RNA (CARA_LNC007107)". The record is from RNAcentral. Lineage: Eukaryota; Viridiplantae; Streptophyta; Magnoliopsida; Gentianales; Rubiaceae.
CGGGGCUCACUCACUUACAUUAAUUUCAGAGAUAAUAUUUUGAUAAACCAAAACCAAACGUUCAAAUCUUUUACAAUACCAAGUUCAAUAUAAUAGCCUCAACCAUAAUAUGAUAUUAAAGGAUUUACAAUCACAAAAGUUUUCACGUUAACUCCCUAAGAUCCCUCGUUCAUUCCCUGACCACCAACUCCUGUAAGGAAAACGAAACUAAAGUGUUGAGCUAAAGCUCAGUGAGGUUUCCAUGCAAGCAAUAAUCAAUAAGCACUUAAACCAGAUAAGCCAAUAACAAAAUUAAGCAACUAAGGAACACUUCACUGAAUAAAGUAAAGAACACUUCACUGAACAAUCACUUUUAAAAAGGAUACGGUGCUCGCAUUAGAGCCACUUCCUUCUGGGAAUCAUUUUAAUGUCAUUGAGCAUUCAUUUUAGUGUCAAGAGAUACUCAUUUCAAUAUCAUUGAACACUCAUUUCAAUGUCAUUGUACAUUCAUUUCAAUAUCAUUGCACACUCCGCCAAUUCAUCUCCAUAUGUCCUCCAAAACAAUAAACAAUCUCCUACAUUCAGUAAUCAGUUCAAUAAUCUCCCAACUUUAGGGUAAUACUCGAGUAUACCGAAACUGUGACGCCCCGAAAAAAAAUGAGUUUGAGAACCAGGAAAAUUUCUAAUUUUCUAGGGUUUAUUUUUUUUUAACGCCCGCCUUUUCUACAUUUUCUUGAUUAGAAAAAAUUCCCCAAAUAAAGUUUAUGAGCAAAGAUAGGUUUAAAAUGAUUUUUCUAGUAUCGGUUAGUUUUUGAGAAAUUGAAAGCGUAUUUUGGACGUGGGACCCACUAGUGCGGUAAAUGCAUUAUAUUUUUGACAACUUGUUGGAAUUUUGUAUUAAGUGAUAUUAUUUUAAAAGGUGUUAAGAUAUUUGUAUUGGAGAGACAAAAAGAUAAGUUUUGAACCAAAAGGUGACAAGUGUCACCUUGUGAUUUAAUCUUGGACUUUGACCAUUUGACUUUACCUUUACCUUUACCAAAUAAGUACAAAAAAAUUGAUCAAAAUAAGCUUCAUUUUGCAAGCUUCUUGGCCGAAUGUUCUUGCUCAAGAAAGAAAGAAAAGCUCUCAAUUUCUUCCUUCUAUUUCUUGCUCAAUCUUCAAAUCCAACCAAUAAAACUCCAAAUUAUUCCAUAAAAUCUCUUUGCUAAGUGGUCUUAAGGUGUUUUGUGGAGUUGUUUGGAAAGCUAAGGUGACUAGUUGCUCUAUCUCUUGUAUUGUUAAUGUGAGUUGUGAAGAACCACUCUCCUUCCUUAAUUGAUGCUUAAAUCAUGAUUAGUGGUGGUAUAAGAUGCACUUUUAUGGAUUAUAUCUUGCUUUUGCUUGAAUUGGUGAAGUUUUGUAAUUUUUGGAGAUUUUUCUGUUUUAAUAUAAGUAUGAUGGUGUGGCUAUCUAUGAUGAUUGGAUAUGGUUUCUAAUGACUAUAGGAGGUGGAAAAAGUGGACAAUUGCAAUCAAUUUCUGUUUUGGAAGAAAUCUGGAAAAUUAGGGUUCCUUGGUUCUUCAUUCUGUCCGAAAUUUUAGGUCAUAGAUAGAGGCCGAAUUGGCCUUUGCUUAAAACAUGAAAGUUGUAGGGAAUGACAUUUUAGAGGUGUCUACAAAAUUUCAGGUCAAUCGGAGUAGCGUAGAGUGAGAAAAGUCGAAAUUACUAUUGCUGUUCUGGUUUACCCGAAAUUGGGAUUUGCGACUGUAAUUGGUUGUUUUGGCUGGAAUUGCUUCCGAAUUGGAUGUUGAGGCCUUCUGAUGAAAUUUACCCCUGUUUCUUAGCUAUCAGCUGGUUUUAGAAUUUCUGGAUUUGGACUUGUAUAGCCUGAUUUAUGAUGUUUCCGCUAGAAUGAGUUCUGUGAAGCUGUUUUUGUGAUUCUGGUGUAGUUUCUUGUGUUUUUGACCUGGUUACACUCGAAACUGGGUUGAGUGACCUUCUGUAAUAGUGUAGCCUUAUCUCUUAGCUUUGAAACGGUGGUUCUUGCACCUUCAUCCGACAAUCGUAGUGCCUUUGGUACCAUUACCGCAAAAUGACGUCAAAACUGUUUUUCUGGUUUUGAGCUUAACUUUCAUUUCCGAACUUUUCCCUAGCUUGACUUGUCUUUGUACUACUUGGAGCUUGCUGAAUGACUAUUGGAUGAACUUGUUGUUGUGUGUGUACCUUUGGGACUGGUUGAGGAAAUAAUGAAGCCAUGAUGGCUGGAAAAGUAAGCAAAUUUAGGGGAAGUGCUGUCCGAACUUUUAAAGGACUUGUUUGCAUUGAGUUUGUGAUCUAAGACUUGGAUUUGAGCAAGGCAAUGAUAUAUGAUGGAUGGUUUCUGAGCCAUGGAGGUGAGUGACCUCAAACUAUUUCUGAAGUUAUUUAUGAACUGUUUCUUGCAUUAUUUACUUUUGAGCUGUUUCCAAAGUUACUUUUGUACCGUUUUCUUGCAUUAUUUACCUUUAAACUGUUUCCAAAGUUACUUUUGAACUGUUUUCUUGCAUAUCAUGCGUGCUUGCAUGUGAGGGUUCUAUAUACGUUUUGUUUCUAUGACUAUGAGAAUUGUUGUGACUAUGUGAUUAUUUGUGAAUAUUUGAUCAAAUGAUAAUUGUUUUCUAUGAUUUCUAAAAUGAACUUUUGCUAGGUGAGUGUGUACUUUAUCGCACUCGACCUAAAUAAAUAUGAAAUUUUCGGUGAUUAAAUAUUGAAAUGCUAGUUGCGCAUGAAUGUAAGCCGUUUGGCUGAACUGGCCACUGCCCUUCGUUACCGAUCGACUCGAGCCAGAAGCGGACUCGGUCGGGCGAUAUGGUGACCCUGGGUGAAUUUGGUAUACUCGAGUAUUACCUUGUAGUCCGGCUACGUCCGGAUGGGUGGAGUCCGGCCAAUGGUCGGAUGGGCGGAGUCCGGUCAACGUCCGGAAAGGGGAUGAACGAACAAAAGGAUGAACGAGGGAUUUUACUUACAAAAAUGUAUUUUAAACGAUUGGAGGAAUAAGGGGAAAAGUCAGGGAAACGAACAAACAAACAAAUAACUCUAUGUGGGCCGGUAUCCUUUUCAUGAAUGUUACUAUCGCUUUCCAUUGUAAAUGUUUCUUGAAUUAUUGAUACUCCGUAUUUAAUGUAUUGUACAUUGUUUCUGGACUUAUCAUUUGAUUUAUGACAUCAUUGAUUUAUGACAUCAUGGAAAUGAACUAUUGUGAAACCGAUUUGAUUACUGAUUUUUCUGGUUACUCGCUGAGCUUCUAGCUCACCCCAAAAAUAUUUUAUUCCCCUCCACAGGGCUCAAGGCGAAGGAAGGACUUGUUGUGCUUAUUCACGUGACUGGAUGGCUUAUAUCUUGUAUAAUUUGGAUUUGGAAUCAUUUGAUGUAUAGUUGGGAAUUGUUUCCGCUUCGCUUAUGACAUGUAAUUAUUGGAGACUUGGAUGUAUGUUUGUGGACCAUGUGAUGUAUAUUUGAGAUUUUUAUUGUAAUAUAUUUGAGAAUUGUAGUGAUCGACUGAGUCCCGGUGAGAGUUGGGCAGGCGGCCCGCCGAACCCUCUGGUUCGCCUUAGGGGGAGGUGGGGUCGUCACAGAAACAGUUACCCAAAGCUUCCGUCCUAUCCGACCAAGCCCUUUGCUGGCUCGAAUAGUCCGUUGAACAAAGGGUUUUGGGGCCCAGUUCAGCCGAUGUGGUAAAGUACACAUACGGCUUACAUUCAUGCACACUUACAAUAACAUUUGGUCAAUUAUCAACCUUCAAACUCAACUAAGUCGGGUGCGAUAAAGUACAGCCCCGACUUAGAAGGCGAGGGACAAUUGAGAUACACUUUACAAUGAAUCACUAGCAAUAUUCCAUAAUAAGCACAUGUAUCACAUAAUUUCAAUUAAGUAAACAUAAACAGUUAAACACACCAUUUGGAAACACUCACCAAAUACCCAAAUAAAUUACUCUCGAGUCUUGUGUUUGUUUCCUGACUCACAGCUACUUCCUGAGACAAGUUCAUAAUUCCAAAGUAAAUAUAUAAUUUGUAGAUGUUCACUUAUUAUUUAUUAUCCUAUUAUUUAAAUUAUUAGAACCAAGUUUGACUUUAAAUUAUUAAAUAUAAUAUAUUCAAUAUUUAUUCUACAUUUCAUUUCGAGACUUAUUGACUUUAUCAUUUUAAACCAAGAAAUAUACAUAUUUUUCAAGUUUAUAAUUUAUAAAAUAUUUAAAUUAUUAAACCAUUUUCCACUCAAGAGUCUAAGAUUAAAGGUUAGGAACACUCCAUUGGUCCCCUUUUAACUAAUUAACUUUAAGCCAUAUGUAACUUAGAUUUUAUUUGUCUACACUAGUCCUUCAAGUUCUAAAAUCUUUAAAUGCUUGUGAGGACAAGAUUAGGUGAUUUGAAGCCUUGUUAUGUAUAUAGCUAUAACGAGUUAUUUUAGGGUUUCCAAAAAUGUCAUAGAAAGAUUAGCUAGCUACCGUUUUAGUCAAUAUCUAAGUUUCAGCAAUGUACUUCAUAAAUUCUGUUAAUAUUUCAUCUUUUGCUUGGCUAAAUCAUUAAACACUUGAUAUUUAUUCUGUCCCUGCCUAAACUAGAUUAAUCAACAUGUAUUAUCAACACAUAAUUCCAGCAAUUCAUUCCAUCAAACAUUUAUUCCUCCAACAAUGUAGUAGUUUGGAUUUCCGUUUUUCCUUCCUAGUUUUAGCUAGAAUUUUCUAAGGCUUUAUCAGCCUUUUAAGUAUUAAAAGUCAAUAGGGUGCACAUGAGAGCAGGGACAAGAUAUUACACAAUGUUUUACUCAAGAUGGCAGCUGAUUAUCAUGAAAUUUUCAGAGACUACAUCUGAAUUUUAGCUUCUCUCUGCCAUUAGACAAGCUCCUAGCAACAUUAUUUUAGAGUUUUAGUGGAGCUUCCCUCGUUUACUUGCUCGAAACAUCAAACCCAUGACACACAUUCUGUUCAACAUGAAUUAAGGUCGUUGUCUCAAAAUUUCAACAGGUAAUUCGAUCAAAUUCACCAACAAAACUGCUAUCAGCUUUUCAUCAGAAUUCCCUCCAUUAAUUGUUUCAUUAUGUGUUCUAAUUUAACAUACAUGCUGGAACUAACAUGUUAUACUCUGUGUUACACUUCAAUGUAAAGGUUUGGAAUCAGAUUUCUUGAAGAAACCUGCAACGGUUCCUAAUUCUUUCUCUCGGCUGCAACCAUAAGUUUCCAGUAGCAACGGCAGCCUUUCGUUUGACAUUUCUCAUUAGUUCUGUUUCUGGUUUAUGUCCUAGCUGAUCCUGCAAAGGAUACCUAUUCAACUGCAGAUCAUCCUAGGCUAAACAGGACAGUCCAUGAUCAGAAUUCAAAAGGAAAUAACUGAGUUAUGCCUCAUCUCUGCACUUAGCUGCAAAUUUCAAAUCUUCACUCUCGAUUUCUGCAAUUUUCUUCCUAAUGGCUUUUCGGUUGCUGCACAGAAUUUUCCUUCAGCCAAGAACUCAUUUUUCCUAGCUAAAUUCAACAUGCUGCUGGUGUUUAUCCAAUUAUACCAACUAAACAGCGAGUUGUUAUAAGAUCUUACCUGUUCCCCUUAAAGUUCGAUGUUGCAGGCUGCUCAAGUUUCUGUUUCAGCUAUUCAAUUCCUAACACUCGAUUCUCCCGUUUUCCUUGCAGUACCCUUGCUUGCUUUUGGUUAGCGAGUGAUGGAGCUGCCAAGCUUUCCCUCCCACUCUCACACUCAGUUCUAUACUCUCAGUUCUGGUCUAGAACGGAAGAAAGAAGAAGAGACAACUGUCUAGUUCAUUGCUGUCUACUUAAAAGACUCUUUUACCUUUUUAGUUCUCUACUUAGAAGACUUAAAGACCAGAAGAGAAUUAUACUACUCGGUGGUCAAUUUUUCCAAUCGGUGG